This 354-nucleotide ribosomal RNA is filed under the name Nematoda environmental sample. Its description in RNAcentral is "bacterial SSU rRNA". It matches the Rfam family "Eukaryotic small subunit ribosomal RNA", at positions 58 to 414 of the family's 1831-position model. Lineage: Eukaryota; Metazoa; Nematoda. The record is from RNAcentral.
UCUAAGCGCAAGCCCUUGAAUGGUUAAGCCGCGAAUGGCUCAUUACAACAGCCAUAGUUUAUUAGAUCUUCACUCUUACUUGUUUAACUGCGAUAAUUUCGGAGCUAAUACAUGCAACAAGCUCGGACCUCACGGAACGAGCGCAUUUGUUAGUACAAACCAAUCGGGCUUCGGCUCGUCAUUUGGUGAAUCUGAAUAACUUUGCUGAUCGCACGGUCUCGUACCGGCGACGAAUCUUUCAAGUGUCUGCCUUAUCAACUUUCGAUGGUAGUUUACACGACUACCAUGGUUGUAACGGGUAACGGAGAAUAAGGGUUCGACUCCGGAGAGGGCGCCUGAGAAACGGCUACCACA